UACGACCUUGGGUCCUCAGACCAACCAGCCUAAGGAACAUCUCACCUAUUUUAAAUCGGACAGGAAUGUCAGGCCUCUGAACCCAAGCUAAGCCAUCAUAUCCCCUGUGACCUGCAUUUAUACAUCCAGAUGGCCUGAAGCAAAUGAAGAUCCACAAAAGAAGUAAAAAUAGCCUUAACUGAUGACAUUCCACCAUUGUCAUCUGCCCUACCCUAACUGAGAAGAUAUAUUCUCCCCCGCCCUUAAGAAGGUACUUUGUAUGCCUAUCCCAAACCUAUAAGAACUAAUGAUAAUCCCAGCGCCCUUUGAUGACUCUUUUUUCUGACUCAGCCCACCUGUACCCAGGUGAAAUAAACAGCCUUGUUGCUCAC
Molecule: long non-coding RNA, 371 nt
Filed under: Homo sapiens (human)
Lineage: Eukaryota; Metazoa; Chordata; Mammalia; Primates; Hominidae
Source: RNAcentral